AGCCUGACCCAUGUGUCCACAGA
RNAcentral lists this non-coding RNA (23 nucleotides) under Arabidopsis thaliana (thale cress). Lineage: Eukaryota; Viridiplantae; Streptophyta; Magnoliopsida; Brassicales; Brassicaceae. The record is from RNAcentral.